RNAcentral lists this ribosomal RNA (742 nucleotides) under uncultured bacterium. Its description in RNAcentral is "bacterial SSU rRNA". It matches the Rfam family "Bacterial small subunit ribosomal RNA", at positions 20 to 788 of the family's 1533-position model. The record is from RNAcentral.
UGGCUCAGGAUGAACGCUGACAGAAUGCUUAACACAUGCAAGUCUACUUGAACUUCGGUUUGGGUGGCGGACGGGUGAGUAACGCGUAAAGAACUUGCCUCACAGUUAGGGACAACAUUUGGAAACGAAUGCUAAUACCUGAUAUUAUGAUUUUAGGGCAUCCUAAGAUUAUGAAAGCUAUAUGCACUGUGAGAGAGCUUUGCGUCCCAUUAGCUAGUUGGAGAGGUAACGGCUCACCAAGGCGAUGAUGGGUAGCCGGCCUGAGAGGGUGAACGGCCACAAGGGGACUGAGACACGGCCCUUACUCCUACGGGAGGCAGCAGUGGGGAAUAUUGGACAAUGGACCAAAAGUCUGAUCCAGCAAUUCUGUGUGCACGAUGACGUUUUUCGGAAUGUAAAGUGCUUUCAGUUGGGAAGAAAAAAAUGACGGUACCAACAGAAGAAGUGACGGCUAAAUACGUGCCAGCAGCCGCGGUAAUACGUAUGUCACAAGCGUUAUCCGGAUUUAUUGGGCGUAAAGCGCGUCUAGGUGGUUAUGUAAGUCUGAUGUGAAAAUGCAGGGCUCAACUCUGCAUUGCGUUGGAAACUGCAUGACUAGAGUACUGGAGAGGUAAGCGGAACUACAAGUGUAGAGGUGAAAUUCGUAGAUAUUUGUAGGAAUGCCGAUGGGGAAGCCAGCUUACUGGACAGAUACUGACGCUAAAGCGCGAAAGCGUGGGUAGCAAACAGGAUUAGAUACCCU